This is a long non-coding RNA of Anopheles merus, 556 nucleotides long. RefSeq lists it as uncharacterized. NCBI's taxonomy places the organism in Eukaryota, Metazoa, Arthropoda, Insecta, Diptera, Culicidae. The transcript has 7 exons. The record is from RefSeq and is a predicted model, not a curated record.
UGGAAAGGUAGGCCGGCAGAAUCAAGAUUAAAUGUUAGAUUUAUAUAGUGUCAAUUUUACUUACCGUCUAUUUGGAUCCGUCGUCCUAGCAACAUAUUGAUAAAAAACCUCGCUCCUGGACGUGUUUUGCGAUGGGUAAAACAAACGACAUAAAAUCUUCAACGAAUUCUACAAUGGUAUCCAAUAUUACAAGGGAAAACGUACAGAAGACAACCAAAUAUCCCAGCUUGGUCGAUCUUGAUGUUGUAUCGCAUCCUUGCUCCACUCGGACGAGUUCUACGGCAAUUUUUUAUUACGACGGUGCACGUAUUUCCUCGGAGCACAAUUACGUAGACAACGCACGGUUCAUAGAAUUACCAACAGAAAACGAUAGUUUAACCGUUUGUCGGUCCGAAAACAUAUAAAGAACUCAAUAUUAAUUCGACGUUUUUAACAAACGACACAAGUUUCGAAGCAGCUACCAAUAACGAUACCUCAAAAUAUGAACACCAGAUAGUCGUCAAUAAUCCUACUGGCAAGUAUUAACAAGUGUCGCUCAAAUACGUUUUAUUUAUUU